This 484-nucleotide ribosomal RNA is filed under the name uncultured bacterium. RNAcentral's name for it is "partial 16S ribosomal RNA". It matches the Rfam family "Bacterial small subunit ribosomal RNA", at positions 28 to 507 of the family's 1533-position model. The record is from RNAcentral.
AUUGAACGCUGGCGGCAUGCUUUACACAUGCAAGUCGAACGGCAGCGCGGGCUUCGGCCUGGCGGCGAGUGGCGAACGGGUGAGUAAUGCAUCGGAACGUGCCCAGUAGUGGGGGAUAGCCCGGCGAAAGCCGGAUUAAUACCGCAUACGACCUGAGGGUGAAAGCGGGGGACCGAAAGGCCUCGCGCUAUUGGAGCGGCCGAUGUCGGAUUAGCUAGUUGGUGGGGUAAAGGCUUACCAAGGCGACGAUCCGCAGCUGGUCUGAGAGGACGACCAGCCACAAUGGGACUGGGACGCGGCCGGGACGCCUCAGGGAGGCAGCAGUGGGGAAUGUGGGACAAUGGGGGCAACCUUGAUCCAGCCAUGCCGCGUGGGGGAAGAAGGCCUUCGGGUUGUAAAGCGCUUUUGUUCGGGAAGAAAGCCUCUGGGCUAAUACCCCGGGGGGAUGACGGUACCGGAAGAAUAAGCACCGGCUAACUACGUG